RNAcentral lists this small nucleolar RNA (134 nucleotides) under Strongylocentrotus purpuratus (purple sea urchin). RNAcentral describes it as "small nucleolar RNA SNORA57". It matches the Rfam family "Small nucleolar RNA SNORA57". From Rfam's summary of the family: U99 belongs to the H/ACA class of snoRNAs which are thought to guide the sites of modification of uridines to pseudouridines, the target for this family is unknown. Lineage: Eukaryota; Metazoa; Echinodermata; Echinoidea; Camarodonta; Strongylocentrotidae. The record is from Rfam by way of RNAcentral.
CCUCCUUUUCUUGGCAUCUCUGAACUCUCCCCAUGUUUAUGAGAUGAAUGCAACCAGGAGGAAGAUUAAAAAUGAUGAACCUUCGGUGUCAGGGUUCUUAUGCCCUGGUCCCAUCCUCUAGCAUCAUUACAGGG